RNAcentral lists this ribosomal RNA (465 nucleotides) under uncultured bacterium. RNAcentral's name for it is "SSU rRNA". It matches the Rfam family "Bacterial small subunit ribosomal RNA", at positions 26 to 518 of the family's 1533-position model. The record is from RNAcentral.
AGGACUAACGCUGGCGGCGUGCCUAACACAUGCAAGUCGAGCGGGGUAGCAAUACCCAGCGGCAGACGGGUGAGUAACGCGUGGUCAACCUUCCGUUGAAUGGGGGAUAACUAGCCGAAAGGUUAGCUAAUACCGCAUACGAUCUUUUGAAGGCAUCUUUAAAAGAUGAAAGGAGCAAUUCGUUCAACGACGGGACCGCGUCCCAUUAGCUAGAUGGUGGGGUAAUGGCCUACCAUGGCAACGAUGGGUAGCUGGUUUGAGAGAGCGACCAGCCACACUGGGACUGAGAAACGGCCCAGACUCCUACGGGAGGCAGCAGUGAGGAAUUUUCCGCAAUGGGCGAAAGCCUGACGGAGCGACGCCGCGUGUGGGAAGAAGGCCUUCGGGUCGUAAACCACUGUCGAAGGGGACGAUAAUGACGGUACCCUUGGAGGAAGCCCCGGCUAACUUCGUGCCAGCAGCCGC